CAGGCGUGAUGAGAUCAGCGCUAGGAGCUUUGCUUGUCACUGGAUUUCAAGUAAGUUUUGCCCAUAUUCAGAUAUUACAGGGGUAAGUGACCUAUUGAUAAAGUAAAAUAAGGUGUUUGAAAGAGUUAGAGCAGCAUUUCCCAAUUGGUGAGAACACAAAUAGGGUUUCAACGUAAUUUUGCCCAACAAAAUGGCCGCCGCGAUUUGAUCGCUUAACAGAGGCCUGGUCGGGUGAUGCGGCCCUUUAUGAGCAUGACUGGGCCCCUGUAGUAUCGGCUGGCUGGGAGGAAGUGACAGCACUUCCUCCCAGCUUCACAGAGUUGCUGCCAUGUAGUAACUCUGUGGGAGGAGGGGACUGGAGAGGGAGCACCAUGCAUGUCAGAGGAGAGGCUGGAGUGAUCAUGCAACAGCUCACUCCCAUCAGCCUCAACCAACAGCACCAGGACCACAAGUUAGCUAACAGGAGAGUGGCUCUGAUGUAUGUCAGAUUGUGUGUGCCUGUGUGUAUCUGUGUAUGUGCAUAAAUAUGGUGUGAG
Molecule: non-coding RNA, 536 nt
Organism: Pelobates cultripes (western spadefoot toad)
Lineage: Eukaryota; Metazoa; Chordata; Amphibia; Anura; Pelobatidae
Source: the annotation of a GenBank genome assembly